UACGGGGGGAGCAAGCGUUGUUCGGAUUUACUGGGCGUAAAGGGCGCGUAGGCGGCCACCGCAAGUCGACUGUGAAAUCUCCGGGCUUAACCCGGAAAGGUCAGCCGAUACUGCGGGGCUAGAGUGCAGAAGGGGCAACUGGAAUUCUCGGUGUAGCGGUGAGAUGCGUAGAUAUCGGGAGGAACACCUGCGGCGAAGGCGGGUUGCUGGGCUGACACUGACGCUGAUGCGCGAAAGCUAGGGGAGCAAACAGG
Molecule: ribosomal RNA, 254 nt
Filed under: uncultured bacterium
Lineage: Bacteria
Description: partial 16S ribosomal RNA
Rfam family: Bacterial small subunit ribosomal RNA
Source: RNAcentral